This 457-nucleotide ribosomal RNA is filed under the name uncultured bacterium. Its description in RNAcentral is "bacterial SSU rRNA". It matches the Rfam family "Bacterial small subunit ribosomal RNA", at positions 328 to 802 of the family's 1533-position model. The record is from RNAcentral.
AUGAAACACUCCUACGGGAGGCAGCAGUGGGGAAUAUUGCACAAUGGAGGGAACUCUGAUGCAGCGACGCCGCGUGAACGAUGAAGGCUUUCGAGUCGUAAAGUUCUUUUAUAUGGGAAGAUAAUGACGGUACCAUAAGAAAAAGCCCCGGCUAACUACGUGCCAGCAGCCGCGGUAAUACGUAGGGGGCUAGCGUUGUCCGGAAUCACUGGGCGUAAAGGGUUCGCAGGCGGAAAUGCAGGUCGGAUGUAAAAGGCAGUAGCUUAACUACUGUAAGCAUUUGAAACUGCAUAUCUUGAGAAGAGUAGAGGUAAGUGGAAUUUUUAGUGUAGCGGUGAAAUGCGUAGAUAUUAAAAAGAAUACCGGUGGCGAAGGCGACUUACUGGGCUCAUUCUGACGCUGAGGAACGAAAGCGUGGGUAGCAAACAGGAUUAGAAACCCUGGUAGUCCGAAGUUC